This 253-nucleotide ribosomal RNA is filed under the name uncultured bacterium. Its description in RNAcentral is "partial 16S ribosomal RNA". It matches the Rfam family "Bacterial small subunit ribosomal RNA", at positions 524 to 776 of the family's 1533-position model. The record is from RNAcentral.
GACGUAGGGCGCGAGCGUUGUCCGGAUUUAUUGGGCGUAAAGAGCUCGUAGGCGGCUUGUCGCGUCGUCCGUGAAAACCAGGGGCUCAACCCCUGGCUUGCGGUCGAUACGGGCAGGCUAGAGGUAGGUAGGGGAGAAUGGAAUUCCCGGUGUAGCGGUGAAAUGCGCAGAUAUCGGGAGGAACACCGGUGGCGAAGGCGGUUCUCUGGGCCUUACCUGACGCUGAGGAGCGAAAGCGUGGGGAGCGAACAGG